This 160-nucleotide ribosomal RNA is filed under the name uncultured bacterium. Its description in RNAcentral is "partial 16S ribosomal RNA". It matches the Rfam family "Bacterial small subunit ribosomal RNA", at positions 340 to 525 of the family's 1533-position model. The record is from RNAcentral.
UACGGGAGGCAGCAGUGGGGAUAUUGGACAAUGGGGGCAACCCUGAUCCAGCCAUGCGGUGAUGAUGAAGGCCUUAGGGUUGUAAAGCUCUUUCACGGAAGAUAAUGACGGUACCCGGAGAAGAAGCCCGGCUAACUCCGUGCCAGCAGCCGCGGUAAUU